Megalopta genalis is the source of this 348-nucleotide long non-coding RNA. RefSeq lists it as uncharacterized. Lineage: Eukaryota; Metazoa; Arthropoda; Insecta; Hymenoptera; Halictidae. The record is from RefSeq and is a predicted model, not a curated record.
GUUAGAGUGCACUCGCGUUCGUUCCAGUCUCCAUGAGAACUUCACUUCGGCGGCAGAAACAGUCGUGUUUCAUCGUUAUUAUACUCAUUCUUCAAGUGAACAACGCUUCCCAGCUACUUGACUUGAUUUCGGAUUCACAUCUUUUUAGCGAAUACUGGAUCGCAUAGGAUACAUUCUAUUAUUUAAGGUGAGGAAUAAUGAAGCACUAAACAACAAACCCCCACUUACUAAAACACCGCACGAUUUUUUAAAUCCAGAACGGUCUUAAAUAAACAGAUGUAUCUAGUAAUUAUUCGUAAAAGUAUCUUCAGAAUCUCAGUAAUUAUGAAAUAAAGAAUUUAAAAUAUU